Molecule: ribosomal RNA, 458 nt
Filed under: uncultured bacterium
Lineage: Bacteria
Description: partial 16S ribosomal RNA
Rfam family: Bacterial small subunit ribosomal RNA
Source: RNAcentral
CUACGGGGUGCAGCAGUGAGGAAUAUUGGACAAUGGAGGCAACUCUGAUCCAGCCAUGCCGCGUGCAGGAAGACGGCCCUAUGGGUUGUAAACUGCUUUUAUACAGGAAGAAUGUUAUCUACGUGUAGAUAUUUGACGGUACUGUACGAAUAUGGAUCGGCUAACUCCGUGCCAGCAGCCGCGGUAAUACGGAGGAUCCAAGCGUUAUCCGGAAUCAUUGGGUUUAAAGGGUCCGCAGGCGGUUCAUUAAGUCAGAGGUGAAAUCCUACCGCUCAACGGUAGCAUUGCCUUUGAUACUAUGGACUUGAGUUAUAGUGAAGUAGUUAGAAUGUGUAGUGUAGCGGUGAAAUGCAUAGAUAUUACACAGAAUACCGAUUGCGAAAGCAGAUUACUAACUGUAUACUGACGCUGAGGGACGAAAGCGUGGGUAGCGAACAGGAUUAGAUACCCUAGUAGUC